This is a long non-coding RNA of Chrysemys picta bellii (western painted turtle), 1592 nucleotides long. RefSeq lists it as uncharacterized. NCBI's taxonomy places the organism in Eukaryota, Metazoa, Chordata, Testudines, Emydidae. The record is from RefSeq and is a predicted model, not a curated record.
CUUUAUUAGGCAGGAUCUGGAAAAAAGAAAUCAAGGCCAAGCUCAACAAAACCACUGCUGCGCAGUAGCGGCCUUUUUUCACGCACAGAUGGUCAGCCAGAAGAAUGAGAGCUUUAUAAGACAGACAUCAUGCUGAUCCUUGGAAUCCCGUUCUCCCGGACCUCGUCAGGAGUUUUUCAUCACCAAAGUGGAUAAUAAGUCUGUCAGGCACCUCGUACAGAUCAAACAGGAGUUUGCCAAAAGGAAAUUGACACCUCAUUUGAAGAUAGCAGGGAAGAGUGGUACUACUUGAAUCCUGUUUAUCUUCAGAAGUGAUACUUUCCUCUUCCGCUGAUGGCAAAAGAUUUACGUAGAGAGAUAAAAUAAUUGGAAAAUGUAACUGAACAACCCAUUCACAAUACAUCUUUAUUCACAGACCUUCCUACUUCACUGAAGAACACAGAAAGGGAUGAAAUGUUUGGUGCAGUACAGCACUUCUACUCUAAUGGAACCAAGAGCCAAAUUAAGAAUUCCAUGUCCAGUAAGAGCCACAAGAACACUGGGAGAAAGGUUAGAAUCUGCUACUUGGGAACCAGAUUCACUGGAAAAGUAGAUCCUAUUCCUUGUUUUCCCUUUCCUACCCGACACAAACAAUGGAGGAGGAGUCUAAAUAAAUGAAUCCCUGGGUCCAGGGGUUCUGGAGCUUUUUUCCUGUUGCUGUCAUCCUGAGAUGCCGUCUGUUCCCAAAUCCUGUCUCAUUGCCCCAGUAUCAUUGUCAUGUCCACAGCCACAUCCUGCUUUUGUCAGUGAGUGCUCAAAGCGUUCCUGCUGGGUCAGAGAGUGUUAUAGAAACACAUGGAUUAGAUUGGACAAGGUAGAUAGAUAAACUAAUUCACGACUACAGACAUUGUAGGUAUCAGCUCAGCUGAACCACAGACUUUGACAUUUGAGAGAGAACCCAGAACCACUGGCCCAGAAGAAAAGACAGAUGUCUACUACUCAGAUUAAAGGCGAAUUCUCUGUAGCUGCUCCCCUAAUAGUUGGGUCAUACCUUACAUAAGCUGUCAUGAUAAAAUGCAGUGAGACCCGUACAUUGGCCAGUUACAGCGCCAACCCAGACGACCUUGGAUUUUAAUUGUGAUAGAAACUAGAAGUGCUGCGCAAGAGACUCACCACUUAUGCAAUAAGGGCUAUCUCCUUGUUCCACUGAUAUCAGCGGGAGUUAUGACAUUGAUUUCAAUGGGCCCAGGAUUUGGCUUUGAGAACUUGGACAGCAUCUGGUCUGUCGCCUAUACAAAAAUAUGCUCAUAGUUUGCUGUGACAUUACAUCAUUGCCUCCCAAGGACACUGAGGGCACAUUUACACUAAAAAGUUUUAUCAGUAAAAUUUCUGCCAGCAUACAGCUGCCAACAUUGCUGUGUCGCUGAAUGAUGUUCACUUUUGGCUGCCUUGGUCAGCGCAGCACCUUCUUGUGAGUACUUUCAACUGUGAGGCUGUGUGUGUAAACGGGGGAAUGGUCCUGCUAUUGUGGGGAACUUUCCUGGCUCAUACACUACCCCGGUGAAAUGGGCUAGCAAAAGGAUCUGAGUCCUCACUCCCACUUCCUUUACCCA